CGGCUGCCUGCUCUGUGGGACGUUGUGGGCAGCAGGUGCGGGGCUGGCCCACUGAGGCCGGCGGAACUGAACGUCUGUCCCCUCAGUGUCCGGCCCGCCUAGGAGCAACGGGGACCCAGGAAAGACAAGACACGGUCCCCACCUGAAGGGGGGGCCAAGCUGGAGGGCAGCCUGGGCCAACGCAGUGGAGAAAGGGGGUCCACAGGGCCAAUUCCCAGGGCAAAGCCGGGUCUCCUGGCCACAGGGCGGCCCAGGCUUGGGAUGGUUCCAGAACACCCGCUCCUCCACCUGAUGUCUUCCCACCGUCAGAGACGGCCAGCCCUGCCCCUGGGGGCCCAGGUGCCCACUGACGCAGCACAUACCCGUCCACUAAAGGGUCACAGACCCGGGGUGGACACUCUAGACGGCCACUGUCAGCAGGGGAGCUUGUGGUCUUGUCCCUUCCCCCGUCGAGGCUGACGCCCGAGGGUCCCCAGCAGACCCCUGGCUGCCCAGCAGACGCACCUUCGUCCCACCCUCAUUUGCUAAGGAACAGUUUAAAGAUGGAGCGGGAGCUUCAGGGCCUGUCACCGUCACCUCCCCGCCACCUCCUUCUAUUCACCUGCGUCCUCCCCACCUGGAAGCCUUCUGCUCCCGCCAGGUGGGCAGUCUGCCCGCUGCCUGAGCUGGUCCUGGGCUGGGAAUCCUGCCCCCCGGGAGCCUGGGGUCUUCAUGACCGCAGGGCCGCUCCUGGUCACCACGUCCAGCGGGGAGGCCCUCGGUGACGACUGAACUCGGGGUGUGUGGUACUGGGGACUGAACCCAGGUGUGUCCGCCACUGAGCCACACCCCGUCCUUUUUAUGUUGAGACAGGAUCUCCCUAAAUGGCCCGGCUGGCCUUGAACUCGCGAUCCUCCUGCCCCGGCCUCCCGAGCGCCUGUGAUGGCAGGCUGCGCCACCGCCCGGCCCGGC
This 951-nucleotide long non-coding RNA is filed under the name Marmota monax (woodchuck). Lineage: Eukaryota; Metazoa; Chordata; Mammalia; Rodentia; Sciuridae. The record is from RNAcentral.